CAAAUUUUUCCUGUCAAUUGGGGAGGGAGGAAAUCCAGACCUAGUAAUUAUAUGAUAAUUAAACAACAAUCUACAGCUAUAAGAAAAGAUCUGGGAUUUGUCCAACAGAUUCUGCUAGUGUGAGGCACCAGCACAAGAUUUGGUGGGAAGGAGGAGAGAGAAGCCAUGUCACCAUGCUUGUAGUGCUCUCGAGGCAUUUGCCUGACAAUCAUCUGCUUUCUGAGGCUUAGCCUUAAUCUUCACCAGUAUUUAUGGCAUUUGAAUGGAAUCCCAGCAUAUGCAAAGUUCCC
Molecule: long non-coding RNA, 290 nt
Organism: Castor canadensis (American beaver)
Lineage: Eukaryota; Metazoa; Chordata; Mammalia; Rodentia; Castoridae
Source: RefSeq, a predicted model, not a curated record